GUACACUCCUGCGGGAGGCAGCAGUGGGGAAUAUUGGACAAUGGGCGCAAGCCUGAUCCAGCCAUGCCGCGUGAGUGAUGAAGGCCCUAGGGUUGUAAAGCUCUUUCACCGGUGAAGCUAAUGACGGUAACCGGAGAAGAAGCCCCGGCUAACUUCGUGCCAGCAGCCGCGGUAAUACGAAGGGGGCUAGCGUUGUUCGGAUUUACUGGGCGUAAAGCGCACGUAGGCGGACUAUUAAGUCAGGGGUGAAAUCCCGGGGCUCAACCCCGGAACUGCCUUUGAUACUGGUAGUCUUGAGUUCGAGAGAGGUGAGUGGAAUUCCGAGUGUAGAGGUGAAAUUCGUAGAUAUUCGGAGGAACACCAGUGGCGAAGGCGGCUCACUGGCUCGAUACUGACGCUGAGGUGCGAAAGCGUGGGGAGCAAACAGGAUUAGAAACCCUUGUAGUCCCAUG
Molecule: ribosomal RNA, 452 nt
Filed under: uncultured organism
Description: partial 16S ribosomal RNA
Rfam family: Bacterial small subunit ribosomal RNA
Source: RNAcentral